RNAcentral lists this ribosomal RNA (208 nucleotides) under uncultured Syntrophaceae bacterium. RNAcentral's name for it is "partial 16S ribosomal RNA". It matches the Rfam family "Bacterial small subunit ribosomal RNA", at positions 568 to 775 of the family's 1533-position model. Lineage: Bacteria; Pseudomonadati; Thermodesulfobacteriota; Syntrophia; Syntrophales; Syntrophaceae. The record is from RNAcentral.
CGUGUAGGCGGCUUGACAAGUCAGAUGUGAAAUCCCUGGGCUUAACCCAGGAAGUGCAUUUGAAACUGUUUGGCUGGAGUAAGGGAGAGGAAAGUGGAAUUCCUGGUGUAGAGGUGAAAUUCGUAGAUAUCAGGAGGAACACCGGUGGCGAAGGCGACUUUCUGGCCCUAUACUGACGCUGAGACGCGAAAGCGUGGGUAGCAAAACA